RNAcentral lists this ribosomal RNA (505 nucleotides) under uncultured bacterium. Its description in RNAcentral is "partial 16S ribosomal RNA". It matches the Rfam family "Bacterial small subunit ribosomal RNA", at positions 28 to 507 of the family's 1533-position model. The record is from RNAcentral.
GACGAACGCUGGCGGCGUGCCUAAUACAUGCAAGUAGAACGCACAGUUUAUACCGUAGCUUGCUACACCAUAAACUGUGAGUUGCGAACGGGUGAGUAACGCGUAGGUAACCUGCCUGGUAGCGGGGGAUAACUAUUGGAAACGAUAGCUAAUACCGCAUAAUAUUGAUUAUUGCAUGAUAAUUGAUUGAAAGAUGCUAUUGCAUCACUACCAGAUGGACCUGCGUUGUAUUAGCUAGUAGGUGAGGUAACGGCUCACCUAGGCGACGAUACAUAGCCGACCUGAGAGGGGGAUCGGCCACACUGGGGCUGAGACACGGCCCAGACUCCUACGGGAGGCAGCAGUAGGGAAUCUUCGGCAAUGGACGAAAGUCUGAUCGAGCAACGCCGCGUGAGUGAAGAAGGUUUUCGGAUCGUAAAGCUCUGUUGUAAGAGGAGAACGGGUGUGAGAGUGGAAAGUUCACACUGUGACGGUAUCUUACCAGAAAGGGACGGCUAACUACGUG